UUUUAAUCACGCCCUAAAUUCUUCAGGCACCCUGGGACCAGCUGGAAUACAGGACAAGCACCAGGGAGACAGAGAACACCAGCUUCAUCGGCUUGGCGGUCAGUGCCCAUUUCCACCUGUAACGACAUGAGGACGUGCAUGCAGUUGGGACAGACAUUUUCCUCUCAGUGACCACCCCAGCCUGAACCACUUUAUGACAGAAAAGUGUCUCAGUUCUUUUCCGCUCAGCUCUUCUGUCUGAACAUCCUCAGCUAAUCCUUGAAGAGGAAAACUAAUGAUCUGCAAAGAUGGCCACCAACGUGCCUUCCCG
RNAcentral lists this long non-coding RNA (310 nucleotides) under Ursus maritimus (polar bear). RNAcentral's name for it is "lncRNA (ENSUMAG00000017913.1)". Lineage: Eukaryota; Metazoa; Chordata; Mammalia; Carnivora; Ursidae. The record is from RNAcentral.